This 73-nucleotide transfer RNA is filed under the name Pseudomonas phage VCM. It matches the Rfam family "tRNA". From Rfam's summary of the family: Transfer RNA (tRNA) molecules are approximately 80 nucleotides in length. Lineage: Duplodnaviria; Heunggongvirae; Uroviricota; Caudoviricetes; Vandenendeviridae. RNAcentral also lists the same sequence under 1 other name. The record is from Rfam by way of RNAcentral.
GCAUUCUAAGCUAACUAGGUAGAAGCACUGGAUUGAAAACCCAGAGGACUUGGCUCGAUACCAAGAGAGUGCA